UAAAAGCUAGUUAAAAUAAAUAUAACAUAAUUUUGUCAAAAUUAAAUUAGUAAAUAAAUACUGUUUUUAA
This 70-nucleotide transfer RNA is filed under the name Plectrocnemia tsukuiensis. RNAcentral's name for it is "tRNA-Asp". The record is from RNAcentral. Lineage: Eukaryota; Metazoa; Arthropoda; Insecta; Trichoptera; Polycentropodidae.